Daphnia pulicaria is the source of this 1026-nucleotide long non-coding RNA. RefSeq lists it as uncharacterized. The transcript is spliced from 7 exons. The record is from RefSeq and is a predicted model, not a curated record. Lineage: Eukaryota; Metazoa; Arthropoda; Branchiopoda; Diplostraca; Daphniidae.
CGAGAUCAGCAGCGAGUCAGCGACAUUCGUUCCAUACUUCCAAUCUUAAAGACAUUUAUUUUUCUAGGAGACGCUCGAGAAGGUUACCUUAGCCAUUGGAUCAUGGCGGCUUUCUUUCCUAACGUUUUUCGUCAAUGCCUGGUGCACGUGCACGUGAUCGCUGUCUUGUCAUGAAGAGGGUCUCCACUAUUUUGCAAGGCAAUUGAGAUGAAAAGAGGAAAUUUGAAAAGGGUUCCUUGUUUGGUUUGAGCUGUUAAUGGUGUGCAGUGGUUUUGCAGUCAUUCCGUUGAGAGAUGCCCUGAGAUAACUACUAAGACUUUCCUCACAUCAUCGUCCUUUUCUAUGGAGAUGCUGUCCGAAAAGGCUCAGAUUGGCCAUAUUGCAGGCAAUUUUCUCUCUUGACAAUUAGUCUUAUAACAUUUGUAACAGCCUGGUGAAGUCCAAGCUUUUCAUUGCGUUACGUGUACGUGAUCGCUGCCGUUAAAUGCAGGUUCUCUAAUAAGAGGGUCUCCGCCCUCUUAUACUUGCUGCAGCGAGCUCUGGUGAAGGAUGUAAGUUGUUGCAUGACGACCAUGUGCUGGUGUGGGGAAGUGCUGCAUGCUGUCUGUGGUUUCGUUGUCAUGUAGGUGGUUUUGUUGCAGCCACUGCUGGUGGGAGUGAAAAAUGAGUUUUUUGAGGUAGUCAACAACGCUGGUUUUAUUCCGAAAUGUAACAUCAAUGAAGUCAUCUUGAAAUGGUCUUGGUGAUGAUGCAAUCAUCAAUCUUUUGCAUGCAGUUUUUGUUAUCAAGUAGUGGAGAAGUAAGACUUGAAGCAAAGCUGCAAGAAAAGAAAUGGUUAUUUGCCUGAGGUAUCGACGUUAAUUAAAUGUGCAGUGGUUUUGCAGUCCGACUCCUGUUCAAGCUGUUGUUUUCCUGAAUAUUGCUGGAGUCUUUGAAGUAGCUGAUCCUGAAGUUAUGAUGCCGGGGUUAUUCUGGAGUAGCUGUUGUUGGUGUCUAAAGUAACCGUGCCAGUCCAAUUCGGGUUGA